GACGAACGCUGGCGGCGUGCUUAACACAUGCAAGUCGAACGGAAAGGCCCUGCUUUUGUGGGGUGCUCGAGUGGCGAACGGGUGAGUAACACGUGUGUAUCCUGCCCUUCACUUUGGGAUAACUUCAGGAAACUGGGGCUACUACCGGAUAGGAGCUCCUGCUGCAUGGUGGGGGUUGGAAAGUUUCGGCGGUUGGGGAUGGACUCGCGGCUUAUCAGCUUGUUGGUGGGGGAGUGGCUUACCAAGGCUUUGACGGGUAGCCGGCCUGAGAGGGUGGCCGGCGACAUUGGGCCUGCGAUACGGCCCAGACUAGUAUGGGAGGCAGCAGUGGGGAAUAUUGUACAAUGGGAGGGAGCCUGAUGCAGCAACGCCGCGUGCGGGAUGACGGCCUUCGGGUUGUAAACCGCUGCCGCUUGUGACGAAGCGUGAGUGACGGUAAUGGGUAAAGAAGCACCGGCUAACUACGUG
This 468-nucleotide ribosomal RNA is filed under the name uncultured bacterium. Its description in RNAcentral is "partial 16S ribosomal RNA". It matches the Rfam family "Bacterial small subunit ribosomal RNA", at positions 28 to 507 of the family's 1533-position model. The record is from RNAcentral.